GAUGAACGCUGGCGGCGUGCUUAACACAUGCAAGUCGAACGAAGCAAUUAUGAUUGAGAUUUCGGUUGAUUGAAUAAUUGACUUAGUGGCGGACGGGUGAGUAACGCGUGGGUAACCUGCCUCGUACAGGGGGAUAACAGUUAGAAAUGACUGCUAAUACCGCAUAACCCGCUAGAGUCGCAUGACUCAGACGGAAAAGAUUUAUCGGUACGAGAUGGACCCGCGUCUGAUUAGCUGGUUGGCAGGGUAACGGCCUACCAAGGCGACGAUCAGUAGCCGGCCUGAGAGGGUGAACGGCCACAUUGGGACUGAGACACGGCCCAA
This 324-nucleotide ribosomal RNA is filed under the name uncultured bacterium. Its description in RNAcentral is "bacterial SSU rRNA". It matches the Rfam family "Bacterial small subunit ribosomal RNA", at positions 28 to 334 of the family's 1533-position model. The record is from RNAcentral.